Long non-coding RNA from Phacochoerus africanus (Common warthog), 2250 nucleotides. RefSeq lists it as uncharacterized. NCBI's taxonomy places the organism in Eukaryota, Metazoa, Chordata, Mammalia, Artiodactyla, Suidae. The transcript has 3 exons. The record is from RefSeq and is a predicted model, not a curated record.
GGGUCAGGGGUUGCGGACGUCCCCGCGCGGCAUUGUCCCCAGCCCGCCACCUCCCACUGCAGGUGCGGCGGCUGGUUAGUAUCGCCUCCCUACGCACCCCCGCUCCCGUUUCUGUGUCUCUUCGUGUCUCUCUUUCUCCCCUUUCUCUGAAUAUUUGUCCCCUUGUCUCUGCCCUCACCCCUUUGAGACUCCGGCCCCUUCUUUCUAGGUCUCUGCGCUCCUUUUGGGUCUCUGUCCCAUUGUUCUAUGAAUCUGUCCCCCCCUCCUUCAAAGGCUUCCCCCUCUUCUCUCUAAGCCUAAGUCUCCUCCCCCACGACCGCGUCUCGGUCUCCGCAUCCACCCCGUCUCUUUCUCUUGGCUUCUGUACCUUUUGCUAGGACUUGGGUCUCUGUUCCCUGCAAGCUCUGCCUCUCUUUGUGACUCUGUCCUCCACUCCCCCCACCCCCACCCCAGAGUGUGUUCCCUUCUCACUCUGGGUCUCUGCCGUUCCAUCUGGGUCUCUGUCCUCACCCUUGUUCUUUGACUACCUCCCUCUCUGUGUCUUUCUCCCGUCCUCCGUCUCCCCCCCGCCCCGCCUUCCCCCCUCCCCCGUCUCUUCCUCCCCGCCCCGUGCCUGCCUUUUCUUUUUACGUCCUUUGUCCCUUUCCCUUCCCUGGGUCUCCACACAACCCCAUCCCGUGCCUCUUUCAUCCUUUUCUGAAUCUCUGCCCCCUUGUUCUGGGUCUCUUUUCCCACUUUCAUUGGGACUCUGUCCUGCUGUCCUUCAGUCUCUGUCCCUCUCUCUCUGGAUCUCUGUCCCUUUCUCUCAGGCUCCCACCCCAUCACCCUCCUUAACCCUCAUCCUGGCCCGGACUCGAGGCUGCGUCACUGCAGAGAGUGGCAGAAGUGCGACCUAUCCUGCAGACCAGGGAGGUAGUUUUCCCUCAACUCUCCCACCCCCAGAUCAGGGCUCCCCCACUGCCCCCUGAUCCAGUAUCCUCGGGCAGCCUUCAAGCCCCCAUGGGACCCAGGAGGACAGAGAAAAGACAGUGGGGCUUCCUGUUCUUCUCUGCCCUGAAUUCUAAUGGCUCCCCAGGCCGAAGCAGUGACUCCCGAGCGGCCAGGCACGGGAUCAAGUUACCAAAUCAGCGUUUCUGCAGAGGUCCUCAAGGCACCAAAUUCCUGAAAGCCCCAAACUCAUCUCCAUCAUCCUUGGUGCUCCUUCCUAACUUCCCUUCCCCCAUCCCCCAAAGCCCUGGAAUUGGGGAAGGGUCUUCCCCUUUCGGACUUCUAGGGCCCUUUCCUCCACCCCUGCUCCUAUCAGUUCCAAAUCCAGGAAAGAUGAUCUCCCGGGCACUAAAGCUGAAAAUAUGGGGACUCUGCCUACGACCCUUGGUCCCUGGAGACCCUCCAAGUACAUCUCCGCUGUAAUCUUUGAGUCCCCAUCUCCCGAGUCCCCCGCUUCCAAAACUGGGAUUAGAGCUGGUUUACCGCCCCCGGACCCUGAGCCAUCUCCUCCUCCCCCGUACUCACCCCAAGUCGAGGCGGGGCGGGGAUGGGGGAAUCCGGGGCUGGCGAUGGGGGGAGGGGUGACCCAGUCUCCGCAGCUCUGGGCAGCAAGAAGCUGCGGAGGGGGGCAGUGACAUCAUCGCUGGAGGAGGGGCAGCUCAGCUCCCCUCUACCCGGGGGCUUCAAGCCCCGCCUUUAUGGCGUACUCAGGGGUCCCGGAAUAAAGGAUAGACGGGAAGAACUGGACAUGAAGUGUGCAGGAAUGGUAUCCUCUCCCCGUAGAACAAGGGUUGGAAAACCCUUUACGACUUCAGCCACCCCCCCCCCACUGCCACCUGUCGCUGCCGUCGCGACCUGUCGCCUCCCACGCGUGUUGUGGCUGCGCCCGCCUCCGUCAGGGCGUGAACACCGCCUAGACUACAAGAUCCGUGAUGCUCUGCGGUGUCGAGUGCCUUCGAGGGGAGGCAGUGCAGGCGAGGGGCUUCAUGGGCUUCGUAGUAUAAGGCCUCUGCACGGAGUGAGCCUUGGGGAAAAGGAACGAUAUCUUUCUCAUUCCUUUCUUCCUCAACUCCGGAGGGCCAGACGAUAACUUUCCCCUGCAAAGAUCAUGCGCUUAAAAAAAAAAAAGUAGAAAGAGGCGCAGGUAGGUUCAAUGGAAACAGCGGAUUUUUACUGAGUAGCGAGGCCUCGGCGAUCACCCAGUGCGCAUGCACCUAACGGGGGGGGGGGGGGGGAGUUCCUCAGCCGGAGAACUGCGCCUGC